GUCAGCGACCAUACCACGUAUGUAGAAAGCACCGGUUCUCACCCAAUCACCGAAGUUAAGCUACGUUAGCCCCGGUUAGUGCUUGCGUGGGUUAGCGGCUGGUAAUACCGGAUGCUGCGGACA
RNAcentral lists this ribosomal RNA (123 nucleotides) under Schistocephalus solidus. The record is from RNAcentral. Lineage: Eukaryota; Metazoa; Platyhelminthes; Cestoda; Diphyllobothriidea; Diphyllobothriidae.